AUGCUGCCCUUCGAGAAACACUUCUGGUUCAUCAAAGACGGAUGUCAGAUUUUUGACAAUUUAAAGGUCAGCAAACUGCACUUGGCUCCAGGAUUCUGCAGCAGUAAUAGGGGACAUAAGAGAAUACACCUCCGCGUUGGCCCCACCAGACAACCUCCUGAUGUGGAGUCAUUGAGGAACAGAGAAAAAGGUGAAAUAAAUAUGUUCUACUUAAUCCAAAUAAAUGUAAAUAACAUUCAAGCGUAAGUUUUUGUUCCUUUUCCACUUCAUUUACUCUGAAGAGAAAUGAUGAAUAUUAAAUGUGUUUACUCUGUCUCUCCUCUGUUAGGAAAAGCCUGGCCAUAAUGGCACUGCCCAGAUUGGGUGGCAUUAUUAAUUCCACACACAAAAGCAAUCCAUCAAUGUUCUACCAAUCUCUAGAAGCUGCGAUCCGGAGAGUGUUAAUUGUGAGACACGCAGGGGAAGGACGGGAAAUGGAUUCAACAAUGCUGUAUUGGUUUUGACACAGUACGUUUUUAUUCCUCGGAUCACUAGGGGAAAUGAUACAGUUGUUAAUGAUCCAAUUAAUCAUCGUCUAAUCAUUGCAAACCAAUGGAAUGUAGCUUUUGAAUGUGAAAUGAACGUUUAUCGGAUUAUAAUUGCAACCAACUGUUAAUGCUUCCGUCAGGUUAGUUCAGCAAGUAUGCACUUGUUGUGAAAUGUGUCUUAAAGUUUACCCCAAAAUGAAGGUUCUGUCAUGAUUUACUUACUCUCAUCAAUUCCAUAUAACAUACAGCUGAAGCUCCAAAAUAAAGCACUGUAUUUCAUCAGCUUGACAGAGAUGGUCACUAUGAACUACUAUUUGUAAGAAAACAUACCUUCUGAAAACAUAAUAAUAAUAAUAACAACAACAACAUGGGUUUUGAGAAACACGAGUAAAUAUAUUUGUAAAUCAUAAGUUAAUACUUGAAGAAUGCUUUGGUGAAUUAUUGCUUUAAAAGAAUGUUAAUAGCUGGAGCGUCUUUCUUACUUUCAGGAUGAUUGUUCUCUGUAAGCUUUUCAUUUUUCAUUUUAUUUAUUUAUUUAUUUAUUUUUUAUCCUGAACAGAUCAAUAGAAUCUCCUCAGGUAGGCUUCAAACAUGUGUGCCUAUAAGCAGAAAUGUGCAAGGCAUGCACUAGCACACAGAUAAACUGAUUAACAAGGAUAGAAGCUUUCGAAGAUUUUCAGAAGCUUUAUAGGUCAAGACAUGUUGUCAACACUUGAAAGGCCAAAGUGCAUUUUCUCUCCCAGGCUCAACAGUGAAAAUGUGCAACUGUAAAACUGUACAAACACUACACAACAACUAAAUACUGCACCAUCAUCAUUGUCAUCACCUGUUACAAGAAGCAUAUUGGUAGACUAACCUUUAAUCAGGGUUGUGCACCAUUCAGAAUUGAAUUAAGAGUGCCUUUUAAAUUCCUAUUCAGUUCCUGAUUUUGAAUUGAGGUAUACACAGGAUGCAAUUUUAAUUUUAGUAUGCUGCAAAAAAUAUGAUUUUCUUGCUUAGUAUUUUUGUCCUGUUUUCUAGUAUAAAUAUCUACAAAUUCUUGAAUUAAGAUACAUUUACUUGACAAGUAAAAUGACUAAGAUAUUGUCUUUUCUGAAAAUAAUUAAUUCAAAGGCUAAACGAUUAUUUUUCUUUACCCUAUUGGCGGAUUUAUUACUUGUUUUAAGCAAAAACUAACAAAAUUUGGAUUUUAUUUUAUUCAUUUAUUUUUUGAAAACAAGGCAUAAUAUCUUAAGUCAUUUUACUUGUCAAGUAAAUGCAUCUUAACUCAAGAAUUUGUAGAUAUUUAUACUAGAAAACAACAAAAAUGCUUAAAUCGAAUUCAAAUAAAUGCAUGUAAUUUGUAACUAGAAGAGAAAAUCUAAUUAAGACAAACUUGUUUGAAUGUUUUAAAAAAUUUGGCAAUGUAGAUGUAUUCAGUUUGCUCAUUUAUAAUCUGGCUCUGAAGAACUGUACACUGAGUCAGAAAUUGUCAUCUUACUCUUCUUUACCUAUGUUUUAUAAUCAUUAUCCUUAUUAUUUAUACAUGAUAAGACUUAGACGCC
Long non-coding RNA from Cyprinus carpio carpio, 2071 nucleotides. Lineage: Eukaryota; Metazoa; Chordata; Actinopteri; Cypriniformes; Cyprinidae. The record is from Ensembl.